GACGAACGCUGGCGGCGUGCCUAAUACAUGCAAGUCGAGCGAACUUGCGGGAGCUUGCUCCCAAAAGUUAGCGGCGGACGGGUGAGUAACACGUGGGCAACCUGCCUAUAAGACUGGGAUAACUUCGGGAAACCGGAGCUAAUACCGGAUAAUUCUUUUCUACACAUGUAGAAAAGCUGAAAGACGGUUUACGCUGUCACUUAUCGAUGGGCCAGCGGCGCAUUAGCUAGUUGGUGAGGUAACGGCUCACCAAGGCCACAAUGCGUAGCCGAUCGGAGAGGGUGAUCGGCCAGACUGGGACUGAAACACGGCCCAGACUCCUACGGGAGGCAGCAGUAGGGAAUCUUCCGCAAUGGACGAAAGUAUGACGGAGCAACGCCGCGUGAGUGAUGAAGGUUUUCGGAUCGUAAAACUCUGUUGUUAGGGAAGAACAAGUACGAGAGUAACUGCUCGUACCUUGACGGUACCUAACCAGAAAGCCACGGCUAACUACGUGCCAGCCGCCGCAGUAA
RNAcentral lists this ribosomal RNA (512 nucleotides) under uncultured bacterium. Its description in RNAcentral is "partial 16S ribosomal RNA". It matches the Rfam family "Bacterial small subunit ribosomal RNA", at positions 28 to 523 of the family's 1533-position model. The record is from RNAcentral.